UCCGGGGUAGCUCAGAGGCCAGAGCGGGUGGCUGUUAACCACUAGGUCGUGGGUUCGAAUCCCACCCACGGAG
Molecule: transfer RNA, 73 nt
Filed under: Candidatus Benthicola marisminoris
Lineage: Bacteria; Pseudomonadati; Gemmatimonadota; Gemmatimonadia; Candidatus Palauibacterales; Candidatus Palauibacteraceae
Description: tRNA-Asn
Rfam family: tRNA
About the family: Transfer RNA (tRNA) molecules are approximately 80 nucleotides in length. Their secondary structure includes four short double-helical elements and three loops (D, anti-codon, and T loops). Further hydrogen bonds mediate the characteristic L-shaped molecular structure. tRNAs have two regions of fundamental functional importance: the anti-codon, which is responsible for specific mRNA codon recognition, and the 3' end, to which the tRNAs corresponding amino acid is attached (by aminoacyl-tRNA synthetases). tRNAs cope with the degeneracy of the genetic code in two manners: having more than one tRNA (with a specific anti-codon) for a particular amino acid; and 'wobble' base-pairing, i.e. permitting non-standard base-pairing at the 3rd anti-codon position.
Source: RNAcentral